AUCAUGGCUCAGAUUGAACGCUGGCGGCAGGCCUAACACAUGCAAGUCGAACGGUAACAGGAAGCAGCUUGCUGCUUCGCUGACGAGUGGCGGACGGGUGAGUAAUGUCUGGGAAACUGCCUGAUGGAGGGGGAUAACUACUGGAAACGGUAGCUAAUACCGCAUAACGUCGCAAGACCAAAGAGGGGGACCUUAGGGCCUCUUGCCAUCGGAUGUGCCCAGAUGGGAUUAGCUAGUAGGUGGGGUAACGGCUCACCUAGGCGACGAUCCCUAGCUGGUCUGAGAGGAUGACCAGCCACACUGGAACUGAGACACGGUCCAGACUCCUACGGGAGGCAGCAGUGGGGAAUAUUGCACAAUGGGCGCAAGCCUGAUGCAGCCAUGCCGCGUGUAUGAAGAAGGCCUUCGGGUUGUAAAGUACUUUCAGCGGGAG
Molecule: ribosomal RNA, 433 nt
Filed under: Microbacterium thalli
Lineage: Bacteria; Bacillati; Actinomycetota; Actinomycetes; Micrococcales; Microbacteriaceae
Description: bacterial SSU rRNA
Rfam family: Bacterial small subunit ribosomal RNA
Source: RNAcentral